AGUGAACGCUGGCGGUAGGCCUAACACAUGCAAGUCGAACGGCAGCACAGUAAGAGCUUGCUCUUACGGGUGGCGAGUGGCGGACGGGUGAGGAAUACAUCGGAAUCUACUUUUUCGUGGGGGAUAACGUAGGGAAACUUACGCUAAUACCGCAUACGACCUACGGGUGAAAGCAGGGGAUCUUCGGACCUUGCGCGAUUGAAUGAGCCGAUGUCGGAUUAGCUAGUUGGCGGGGUAAAGGCCCGCCAAGGCGACGAUCCGUAGCUGGUCUGAGAGGAUGAUCAGCCACACUGGAACUGAGACACGGUCCAGACUCCUACGGGAGGCAGCAGUGGGGAAUAUUGGACAAUGGGCGCAAGCCUGACCCAGCCAUGCCGCGUGGGUGAAGAAGGCCUUCGGGUUGUAAAGCUCUUUUGUUGGGAAAGAAAAGCAGCAGGUUAAUCCCCCGCUGUUUUGACGGUACCCAAAGAAUAAGCACCGGCUAACUUCGUG
Molecule: ribosomal RNA, 492 nt
Filed under: uncultured bacterium
Lineage: Bacteria
Description: partial 16S ribosomal RNA
Rfam family: Bacterial small subunit ribosomal RNA
Source: RNAcentral